Molecule: ribosomal RNA, 253 nt
Filed under: uncultured bacterium
Lineage: Bacteria
Description: partial 16S ribosomal RNA
Rfam family: Bacterial small subunit ribosomal RNA
Source: RNAcentral
UACAGAGGGGGUAAGCGUUGUUCGGAAUUACUGGGCGUAAAGGGCGCGUAGGCGGCCUGUUAAGUCGAACGUGAAAUCCCCGGGCUCAACCCGGGAACUGCGUCCGAUACUGGCAGGCUUGAAUUCGGGAGAGGGAUGCGGAAUUCCAGGUGUAGCGGUGAAAUGCGUAGAUAUGUGGAGGAAUACCGAUGGCGAAGGCAGCCUCCUGGGCCAACACUGACGCUGAGGAGCGAAAGCAUGGGGAGCGAACAGG